CAGCAUCAACCAUGCUCCUGCCUCAGGGCCUUUGUACCAGCUCUUUUCAUUACCUGAAAUGCUCUUCCCCCAGAUAUCUACAUGUCUGAAAUGACUUCUUCAGAUUAAGGAAACUUUUUCAAAUCCACAGCCAGUGAGUUGUACAGUUAGAACACAAUCCUAUAUUUCUGAUCCCAGAACCUGAGCUGGUCGUAAUACCAGCAUUUUUAAUAUUACCGCUGGAAGGCUUAGAAGUGUGUCUUUGCAAUGACAAAAUACAUUGAGAAGCAAUUUACAUCCUAAAUAAUUGUGGCUGAAUGAAAAUGGAGAUUGACAAAAAGAUCUUAUCAGUUUUUCUGUUUUGGAAGUUGAGGAAGACGUGUUAUAUUCCUAUAUUAGAAGAUCUAUUUAUGCUGAUUAAUAUGAGCCAGAAGAGAAAAGGGAUGGAUGAUGCAGAAGACACAUAGAGAUCUGAUAAAGUGAAAAUUCUUACAGUGGCAAAAAGAUGGGUUUCAGUAUGCUUUUGUACAUUAGGGAACUCAUUUUCCUCUGGGUGGUUAAAAGAUUGCCAAGGAGAAUUUUAGCAUCGACAGUUUUAAAGGAAUCAAUUUUCAGCAACUCAAUUUUCAUGUGAACUUUUCUAAAGCGAUGUCGCUGAAAAAUUUAUCUAUACUCAGGAUACACUUUUUUGUUCCCAAAAGAAUGGCAUCAUUCAAAAUCUUAAUGUAGUGCAUUAUCCUGUGGUGGAUUACUUCUGGAGUAACAAAUAGCAAGGCUAUCUAACGAUAAUUCAAUAUUUCAGUCUAAAGUUUCUCAUUCUUCAUGUUCCAUCUACAUUUCUCUCUCUCUCUCUUUCUCUGUCUGUCUAUCUAUCUAUCUAUCUAUCUAUCUAUCUAUCUAUCUAAUCUAUCUAUCUACCAAUCUAUCUACCUUUCUAUCUAUCAUCUAUCUGAUCUAUCUCUAGUAAAGUGAAGCCUGGCAUUUAGAAAAGUGGCGUAUUCAUCCAUGUUGAGGUGUUGUGAGUUAAGAUAUAGGUAGGAAUAAAAUGGAAAACACUUUCCUUAAAUAUAUUUUAUAUUCUCCUACUAUUGAUUCCUUUACAACUAUUUCAAUUUAAGAAGAAAAAUGUCAGAUAGUGUGAUAUGAAUCAUGUUUGAGAAAUAUUUCCUUGAGAGUUUGACUAGUGCAACAAAAAAUAUCUGUAAGGGACAAUGAAUGUUAAAAAUGGUUUUAUUCCUGUGCUCGAGCAAAACCUACUCUUUUUAUGUAUUCUCAAUUUUCAGCCCUAGAAUGUGUUAUUAACUUGAAAGAAAAACUCUCCCAAAGAUCUAAAAGUUAUGCUGAUUUUUUAGAAAUAACUAAAGGUUUUCAAGACUACCAAAAUUUCAAGCUACAUGGGACAAUUACCAAUGUAUGGUGUGUGAGGGGAAGACUGUAGUAAGUUUAGAUGUCACUGAAUAUUUUUCACUAAGGGAUUUAAAGCAUUUUAUACUAUACAAAACAAUAAAAUGUCUAUUUUAUUUUCAGUGAAUUUAUUUUUCUUGGAAAAAUAUUUAUUAAAUUCUACCUCAUUAAGAAACAAAUAUCACAAGCAUUUAUAGAUUAACAGUAUAUUGAUUUGUUUCCUAACUAAAUAUAUCU
This 1620-nucleotide long non-coding RNA is filed under the name Homo sapiens (human). Its description in RNAcentral is "HSALNT0204676". Lineage: Eukaryota; Metazoa; Chordata; Mammalia; Primates; Hominidae. The record is from RNAcentral.